UGUUUAGUUGCACAAUCCCUAUUGUAGCUAAGCUUCUUUAUUUUCUUGAAGAAUUAUACUUUUAGUCAUGAUUGUACAUUAUUUUUUUAGACAGUUUUUAGAUUUGUUGCCUCUUUUACUACAAUAUAAGCAUAGAUAUUGUUCAAAUUGAUUCUUCUUUUCUUAUAUUGUGAGAGAUUUGAAUUGUAUCAUAUCAAUUUAUAUAUUCUUAGCUCUUAAAUGUAGAAAUAAUCUAUUUGUUGAAGCAAAAGAAUAUGAAUUUUUAGUACCUUGCUCUAUUAAAAUCUACGAAUAUUAAUUUAGAUGACAUUGAAAUAAUCCAUUAU
RNAcentral lists this long non-coding RNA (326 nucleotides) under Physcomitrium patens. Its description in RNAcentral is "long non-coding RNA (PPAT_LNC014511)". Lineage: Eukaryota; Viridiplantae; Streptophyta; Bryopsida; Funariales; Funariaceae. The record is from RNAcentral.